Molecule: long non-coding RNA, 3289 nt
Organism: Cyprinus carpio (common carp)
Lineage: Eukaryota; Metazoa; Chordata; Actinopteri; Cypriniformes; Cyprinidae
Source: RefSeq, a predicted model, not a curated record
GGCUUGUGUUUCAUCAUUUUGACGAUCGUGUGCUUUCUUGAUCUUUAUGCUCCAAUGUCGGACUUUAAGAAAUAUAGCAUUUUGGACAUUACAUUUUAAAGUUACGUGUAACUAACAAAAUUAUUCUAAUGUCAAAUAAAUUAUCGCUAUUUUAACGGUUUUAUAAUAUAGCAACCCGCACGCCACAUACGUAGUAGCAGCUAUAUUAAAGAACAAAUGCACGUAUUUAUCAUAACAAUUUUUCUAAAGUUUUCACAAUUAACUGAUAUUAAAUCGACCAGAUGUAACAUAUUACAGGAUAUUACUUCUCCAGGCGAUAUUCAGUAGUCUACAACGUUUGUUGCGUGGAAUGGGAUGUUCGUAUAAAAUCAGAGUGCGUUUGAAGACGAAAGGAAGGAAGGUUUCAGCGAGAUUUUUGUCCAUUUUACGGAUUGCCUACUGGGAGGAAUAACGAGGUACUAUCACACAGAGUUUGGCAAAACGCCUUUUUAAAUACACACCUGGAACAAAUUCAGUAAAUCGAGGCAUGAUCAGUGGGUUAUGUAGCUUAUGUAGCCAAUAAAUUUCAUCUGACCUCUCCAUUUCUCAGAACUGUUCACGAUUAGUUCACGUUAAUUCGACCGACAGGGUACAGCAGAGUAACAAUCUGAGCUUUAAAGCUCCAUAAGCAGCCGUGUACCUUUAAGAGGCUCGUCAACAGAUCCUCGAUUAAGUGGGACUCCGUUUGUUAAAGAGCGCUUGGCGCCAGUCGGCUGGAGUCCCACAAUAAGAACCUACCCCUGUCAAUUCAUAUUUACCCCCGAAUUCUCAAACAGAGUGCACCCGUCCACUCAGUGUUCCACAAAGCUUACAUGUUGUUGAGAAAAAUCCACCCAAAUUUUGUGCCAGCCUUGUUCCGCUUUCAACAAUUAAUUAGACCUAGUGAAAGUCCACGGAUGGUAGAUUUAUCUCUUGUGUUUGAAACGAUGUCUGAAUCUGAUCAAUCCUGGCUAGACUACUUUGAGAAGAAACAAUGUCUGAUUGACAUUAAUUCCACACAUCAUUUGUUCAGAGAUUUGGAAAGUCAACAGGAAAUGCGUUUUGUUUGUUCUUUUCAGUUGACUUCGCCUAUUCCAUUCUCCGAAAUGCUCACUGUAAACCUCUGAAAUGACUUCCUACUGAAAGACUCAAAAACUGUCCUGAGAGGGAGACACAGGUUGCUUCUGACCUAAUAGUAGCCUACCGUCAGAGAUAUGAAGCAGCUCUUCGGGCUUGAAUUUAUGACAGAUGCGAGGAUCUUGAGUUAGGCUAUGUAUCUUUGUUUGGAUGGAAAGAUUAAUUUCAGAACAACAGAAGAAGGACAUACAUAUAUUGUUUUGGAUCAUCCUGUAUCGACAUGUUCGUCUUUGGAACUGAAGCAUAGAUAUGUAUAGGUAAAUGCCACAUUUAUCUGCUCCAGACACGUUAAUGUGUCCGCCAUCUCAAGUUUCAAGAUACCAAAUCAUUGCACAGAAAUUUAAAAAUCCUGAAGAUAUUGGAUAAACUUUCACAGUGGUCCCCAACCAGCAACCAAAGCCCAGUGAGGAGACAGAACAAGAGCCUACGACUUCCAAGAAAAAGAAAGCUGCAUUUAACAGGCAAUACCAGGAGUCCUACUUAAAAUACGGAUUCAUUGCGACAGGUGAUUCCCACGAACCUAGCCCGCUCUGUAUAAUAUGCUGCGGCCGGCUCUCUAAUGAGGCAAUGAAGCCUUCAAAACUGCUUCGCCACUUGGAGACCAAGCACCCUGCAUUAAGAGACAAACCCUCUGAGUAUUCUGAAAUAAAAAAACGGGAACACGAAGGACAGAAGAAAUUACUGAGGGCCACCGCAUCAACAAAUGCGAGUUCACUGAGAGCAUCAUACUUGGUGGCUAACCGUAUUGCUAAGGCUAAGAAGCCAUUCACUAUUGGUGAAGACUUGAUCCUGCCGGCCACUAAAGACAUUUGCCGUGAACUUCUAGGAGAGGAUGCGGUUAAAAAGAUAGCACAGGUGCCUCUGUCGGCUAGCACGGUCACUCAGCGCAUUGAGGAAAUAGCAGAAGACAUUGAGAAACAAUUGUUGGAGAGGAUUAAUACAUCACCGUGGUACGCGCUCCAGGUUGACGAGUCUACAGAUGUUGACAACAGGGCAAUACUACUUGUUUAUGUGCGAUAUCUUUAUCAGGAGGAUGUGCAUGAGGAUAUGUGCACUAUCGUUGCCAACCAACACCACAGCCACAGAACUCUUCAAGUCGCUGGAUGGUUAUAUAUCAGGAAAACUGAAAUGGUCCUUUUGUGUCGGCAUAUGCACAGAAGGUGCUGCUGCCAUGACCGGACGGUCUGGUUUAACUGUUGUUAAAGUUAUUAACCACAUCAAAGCACACGCCCUUAACUCACGCCUGUUUGUGCAGCUUUGUGAGGAGAUGGACGCGGAGCAUUGACGUCUUCUCUUAUACACAGAAAUAAGAUGGUUAUCCCGAGGGAAAUCGCUGACCAGAGUGUUUGACGAGAACCGCUGCAGAGAUUUCUAUCAGAAAAGAAGUCACCGCUGGCAGCACAUUUCAGUGACGGGGAAUGGGUCGCAAAACUGGCUUACUUAUGCGACAUAUUCAACCUUCUCAAUGAACUCAAUCUGUCACUUCAGUCUUCAAGUUGGCAGAUAAAGUAGCUGCAUUUAAAGCCAAACUUGAUUUGUGGGGACAGCGCGUGAACAGAGGCAUAUUGGACAUGUUUCAAACAUUAGCGGGGAUUUUGAGUGAGACUGAGCCUGAGCCGUCAUUCUCCCAGCUGGUGCACGAUCACAUGUCUUUGCUUUUAAAAGAGUCUGAGCGCUACUUCCCAACCACAAAAGACCCACAAACCACAAAGGAAUGGAUCCGCAACCCAUUUGUCAACAAACCAGGUGAAUCCAGCAUGUCUGUGCAAGAAGAAGAUCAACUGCUGGAGAUCGCAAAUGAUGGCGGCCUUAAAAGUAUGUUCGAGACAACAACUCUGCCGGUGUUCUGGAUUAAAGUCAUGGCAGAAUACCCUGAGAUCGCCACAACAGCACUGAAAACCCUGUUGCCAUUUCCGACAUCCUAUCUGUGUGAAGCAGGGUUUUCUGCAGUGACAGCAACCAAAACAAAAUUACGGAGUAGGCUGGACAUAAGCAACACACUUCGGGUGUCAUGGUCUCCCAUUACCCCUAGAUGCGAUAGUCUCAUUGCAGAGAAACAAGCUCAAGGCUCCCAUUGAUUUAGCGUUAUGGUGAGCUAAAAUUUUCAUGGACUUUAUAUUCGUUUUUGUGGUGU